AUGCAUUCACAUAUAGAUAGCUUAUUUGCAUUGUUCAAAAAACUUUGUAGUCUCAAUGAUGAUGCAUACAUGUCAACGAUGGGUGUUGGCUCCAACAAUUCGCAUUGGUCUCAAACCAAUGACAUGCAUUUCGAAAUCCAUGAGUUCGAGGUGGACGAGGAGGGUGAUGGCAUUGUCGACACACCGAAAGGAAGAGAGGGCAAUUACACCAACGCCGAUGACAUCUUACUAUGCAAUACUUGGUUGCAAGUGUCGAGGGAUCCAUCCGUUGGAGGUGAUCAAAGUAGAGAUGCUUAUUGGCUUCGGAUGAAAGAACACUUUGAUGUUCGCAACGUGAGUGGAAUUGACCGUUUCGACCGAUCACUUCGGUCCCGGUGGUCGACAAUCAGCUCAGAUUGUCAAAGGUGGGCGGCCUGUCAAAAGGAGGUUGACAAGUUGAACCCAGGUGGCACAAAUGAGCACGAUAGAGUAAGUGGCAUUUCAUACAUGUUCAUCAUACAUGUUCAUCAUACUUGUUGUUGGUGCUAA
This 528-nucleotide ribosomal RNA is filed under the name Triticum aestivum (bread wheat). RNAcentral's name for it is "partial small subunit ribosomal RNA". Lineage: Eukaryota; Viridiplantae; Streptophyta; Magnoliopsida; Poales; Poaceae. The record is from RNAcentral.